This 86-nucleotide transfer RNA is filed under the name Dehalococcoidia bacterium. RNAcentral describes it as "tRNA-Tyr". It matches the Rfam family "tRNA". Rfam says of the family: Transfer RNA (tRNA) molecules are approximately 80 nucleotides in length. Their secondary structure includes four short double-helical elements and three loops (D, anti-codon, and T loops). The record is from RNAcentral. Lineage: Bacteria; Bacillati; Chloroflexota; Dehalococcoidia.
GGCAGGAUGGCGGAGUGGACAAACGCACCAGGCUGUAAACUUGGCGCCCUAGGGCUACGGGGGUUCGAAUCCCUCUCCUGCCACCA